CCAGAUGAUCUAGGAGGUCUUUUCUAACCCUAAUGGAUCUGUGAUUCUAUGAUUCCUGUGUCAGCUGUAGCAACUUCGUCUGCUUCCUGGAAAGCCAGAGCGUCUGUCGCUGUUUGUGCCCCACUUGAUCUGUUUGUCACUGCCCUCCCUGCUCCCCUUCAGCACAGAUCUGGACUCGGCUCUGUGGGGUUUGUUCUCUGUGAGCUUAGUUUUUUGAGUAGCUGAACAAAACCUUAAAUCACUCCUGUCACUGAAAUCUCAGUUACCUUCUUUUGCUGGUUCUGCCUUUAUCCUGACUGCAGCAGCAGCAAGAACAGGCACUGAAUGGGGAACCACCAGGGUAAGACUGGUUAUAUCAAAGCAAAAAGGAGAUCUACCACUAACAAUGGACCAAAUCUGCUGCAGGGAAUUGGGCAAGUGGAAAAAAAAUAAAUCCUGCUGUAUUUAACUUGUGGGAUGAGAAAGGACAAACUGACUUGCACGUAAUCAUCUGGAAUAAUAUGCAUUUAAAAUGGUGACUUUCUUGUGAAUUUUCAAAUGUGUUUUUCCCCAUUCCAGAGACAGAAGCUUUUCCAAAAGCUGUUUGGGACAACAAUUGUUACCCAAAGUUGUACUUGGCUGUCUGCAGACAGCUGAUGUUUAAAUUACGCAGGUUUCAGAAUAGAUUACCUGUGCUGUUAGCUUUUAAAAAGGUAUUUAAAUGCAUCCUUUACAAUAGCGGCACAAAAGCUUGAGUGUUCCUUUCUUGCUAUUUGGAUUUCACACAGUGACGGUGAUGUGGCAGUGAUGGUGUGUGCCUCCCAGAGCGACAGUGGAGCUAGUUGAAUGGCGUACAGGCAUUUUAAAAGCUCCACUACUGAAUCUACCUCAAGAUCACAGCCUGGUGCUUUUGUCACUGUGGUGGUGAACUGGCUUUUCUUUGGCAGUGCAGAAUAUAGCUCAGCUUCUCAAGGCGUAGCCUGGCCAGUUAGUGGUUGUGUUUGUAACAUCAAAUCAAGUACGAGGUGAAGAGUCUGGCCCGCCAAAUUUGCUGCUGUUCCAAUGUACAUAGCCAGGCCCUUGUUUUCCUACAGCACCAUCGUGCCUUGUGGCAGCACUUGGAAAAAAAAAAAAAAAAGAAAAAAAAGAAAAAAGGAGUCUGUCCAGCUUCCCAGUAGAGCUAACACAGCUCUGUGAGUGGCGGAGACAUGGGUGUCCGUAUCGCUGCAGGCUGAGGCCAGGACCAGAGAUGACAUGCCUUAACCUAGAGGUCAGCGAGGCCUCUAGGCUCUGGACAGACAUUUUUGACUUUCUUGCUAGCCUGUGUAACAAUGCUAGCACCAAAUGACUCAGAACAAGUCAGGUGGUCUUUAAUGUGGUGUUAAUUGGGUUGGUAUGAAAGCAACUUUGUUAUUAUGACAGCAUGGCUGAAAACUUUUGACAAAAUUGGGUCUUCCUACAGCAAACAUUUCUUUUGUCACUCAACUCUUCAAUCAAAACAAAGCUUUGGAAGGUUGUUUUAUUGUGUUGUUUUUUUCUUUCUUUUUUCUUUUUUCAUCAAGCUGAAAAUUCUUGUAAAGAAACCAUGAAAAGGACUUUGUUGCUGAAGUUUUUGGUGAGAGCGAAAGCAGUGCUUUCUCCUUAGCUCUGUGAUGAACCCCGAGGUGGUUGGGCAAAGCCCUGUGCCCUGAGCUUCAGGUGCGAGGGUGGAACGGAGGAUCACUGCUGAAGCUACAAGGUGCACCAGAUUUUCUUCUGGAAGGCCAAUUCCUUUCUGACCCUUGGGCUGUUUUCACUCACGUACUUACCAGUUGCAAUGAUUGACUGAGCUCAUGAUUAUUCCAGCAUGAAGACUUAAUGUUUUAUAGUAUUAGUAAGUAGGUGAAUACCCAUAAUAAAUGAAAUCUGUGCUAAAGGAGUGUAUGCUGCAGCACAGACGUUCCCCUUUCUGUUAAUUACCUCUGAUUGUGCUACAAGUGUGGUGUGCGCAGCGGUUUGUUCCUCUUGUAGGCACAGCCUGGGUUCCAGCCUUAGAACACCUUCAUUUCCAUUUCAAGCUUCCUGUAAAUAAGGCAACUGGCACACUUAAAAAAAAAAAUAGCAUGAGAGCCACCCUGCAAAUAUCUAUUUCUUGUUGUCUUGAAAAUGUUCUGGAACGUUCCCUGUAUUGAAGCAAAAUUAUUCCCCAUUUUUUAUUUAAUGAGAAACAGUAACCUGUGUAAAUAAAUACCAGGAGGCUUUAUCUUAUCACAUAGUGUGAUAGCAUGGGAAAGGGAGUUGCAUUUUAAAAGUGGAGAUCCUGGCUUGUUAAUGAGAAUGUGACUGGAGUUAAUAAUUUCUGGCAAGGCAACGUAGCCUCCUUGUAACUCUUAAUUUCUCCCCUCUUGUUUAUCAUCUGGCUGUGAUAAGUUUAUGGGUCUGCUUCAUAACAGCUCAAGAGGUUUAAAGGAGAGUUAAUUUGCACGACUGCUGCAGAAGAUGAAGAAGCCCAGAUGCUUGUUUACCCCAAAUUUCCAAAAAA
Oxyura jamaicensis (ruddy duck) is the source of this 2500-nucleotide long non-coding RNA. RefSeq lists it as uncharacterized. The transcript has 2 exons. The record is from RefSeq and is a predicted model, not a curated record. NCBI's taxonomy places the organism in Eukaryota, Metazoa, Chordata, Aves, Anseriformes, Anatidae.